GGAGGGUUGCGCCGAAUUGGUAAGGCACCAGUCUUGAAAACUGGGGCCCCGAAAGGGGCUUAGAGGUUCGAGUCCUCUACCCUCCGCCA
This 89-nucleotide transfer RNA is filed under the name bacterium. Its description in RNAcentral is "tRNA-Ser". It matches the Rfam family "tRNA". Rfam says of the family: Transfer RNA (tRNA) molecules are approximately 80 nucleotides in length. Their secondary structure includes four short double-helical elements and three loops (D, anti-codon, and T loops). The record is from RNAcentral.